AGUGAUGUGCAGGGCUUGUUGAGCUUGUAUGAAGCUUCCUAUCUCAGCGUUCAAGGAGAAGAUAUUCUAGAUGAAGCUCUUGAAUUCACCAAAACUCACCUAACAAAGGCAACCCAAUUUGGUUCACCUCUUGCUGACCAAGUUAGCUAUGCUUUAAGGUGGCCUACACGCAGAGGGUUACCAAAGAAAGAGUCAAGGGAUUACUUCUCUAUUUACCAGCAAGACGACGCACAUGUUAAACCUUUACUGAAGCUUGCAAAGUUGGAUUAUAAUAUAGUGCAAACAUUGCAUCAAAGAGACAUGAAAAUUAUCACAAAGUAUAAGUUAUUUUAAGAUCUAAUCUCUGUUUAGAUAGGAGCUAAUUUAUUCUAAAGGAUAUGGUUUGCUUAUUCUAAAUUUUAUUAGGUGGUGGAUGGAUUUGGACUUCACAACAAAACUACCUUUUGCUCGAGACAGAGUGAUCGAAUGCUCUUUUUGGGCAUUAGGAACAUUUCCUGAGCCAGAAUAUGUUUUUGCCAGACAAGUAUUGUCCAAAGCUGUAGCUAUGUUGUCUGUUAUGGAUGAUAUCUAUGAUGUGCAUGGUACAAUUGAAGAACUUGAGCUCUUCACCAAAGUAGUUGAGAGGUUUGAUAGAAGCUUAAUUAAUUUCUCGGGCAACAUUUUUUUUUUUGCAGAUUUAGCAUUAGCCCAAGAAUCAAUUGGCUUUAUAAUUAAUUUUUCAGGUGGGAUAUUAGCAUGAAAGAUCAACUUCCUGAUUACAUGAAGGUGUAUUUUGAAGCAUUUUUAGAUUUCUAUGCUGAAAUAGAGGCAGUGACUACGAAGGAAGGAAGGUCAUUCUGCAUUCACUAUGCAAAGGAAGCGGUAAUAAACUUUUGCCUUUUCUUCAUAUAUUUUUAAUCAUUCAUAGAGCAAAUCGUCGGCCUUUGAAUUAAUUUUCAGGUGAAGAAGCAAGUGAGAGCCUAUAUCACUGAGGCAAGAUGGUUCAACAGUGACUAUGUGCCCACACUAGAAGAAUAUAUUUCUAAUGGUGUGAUUAGCUCUACUUACCCUAUCUUGAUAACCUUAUCCUUCUGUGGUAUGGGCGAAGUGGCUUCAAAAGACACUUUUGAUUGGCUUUUCACUGUGCCUAAACUUCUAUAUGCUGCAUCAGGUCUUGCCAGGCUAAUAGAUGACAUCAGGUCCCAUGAGGUAUGGCAACUGAAGGGUUAAACUCUUAUUUUAUUUUCUUUAAACUCUUAUUUUGAAUGAAGACUCAAUAUUUCUCAAUGUUGCAACUGAUAUAUGUGCAGUUUGAGCAAGAAAGGGGACAUGUUGCCUCAGUUGUGGAAUGCUAUAUGAAGGAACAUGGUGUUUCACAGAAGCAGGCAUAUGAUGAGUUGAACAAAAUAAUAACAAAUUUGUGGAAGGAUCUCAACGAGCAGCUCCUUAAAGAAAAUGCACAUCUUCCAAAGCCUGUUCUGAUGUGUAUUCUGAAUAUUGUAAGGGUCAUGGAUGUUGUCUACAAGGAUAUAGAUGGUUAUACAAACUCCGACACUUCACUUAAGGAUAUCCUGGUUACAUUCCUAGUCAACCCAGUUGCUGUUUAAGCCUCAAGCUUCUUCAAUUGCUUCUUCUCUGCACUACAGGAAUAACUAUAUAUUUAUGUAGAACAAAUAAAUGAGUUUCUAUAUGGUCUCAGUAAAAUUUCCAUGGUUUUAUCGAGGAGCAUGUCCUGUCCCUUAUCUACGUGUAAUUUGGCUGCCUUUGAAAAACAAAAAAAAAAGGUGUGAAUUUCAGUUCAAAUAAAUGGGUGUUGCACUUCAAAGUUUGAUAUGUAGUAAAAAUAGUUUUGUUCCAUGGUUAAUGAGCUUCCUGUUUAUUCUCUAUAAAAUUACAAGUUCUAUUUUAUGGCUUUCACUAUAUAUAUUGUAGAGUGUUAUUGUUUAGGGUUUUAUUUUGAGUUUAGGUAGAGACUCUCGUUUUAAAUUUAGACAACUAAUUAAAGAAAAAAACUUGCUUAUCAAAAAAAAAUAUAUACUUAAUUUGUUGAAAAAAUAUAAAAUAGUAUUAUAUUGUUUUAUUUAUUGUCAUUUUAGAGUAUAUUAUUCAAUUUGUAUUAGAGUAAUAUGUUGUGAAUAUUGUUUUAUUUAUUGUUAUUUCGAGAUAAUGUUACUGUCUAAGAGUCAUAGCCCCUGCUUUGCCUGCCAAACAUUUAGUAUAGUUGCAAAAAUAUCUGCACUUUUUCAAUGGAAAAAAUUCAUCGAGCUGGAGGAUGCCCUUCAACAAUUUAAAAAUGUAAAUAACUAAACAAAACAUCAUGGGAAAAAACAAAAGAUUAUUGCCACUAACAGAAUAAAACAAGACAAAAACAUUAUUGCCAACAACAAAAUGCUUAAAGCACUAUGAUCACCAACUACCACUUCAUGUAAAGACUAGGUCCAAUGCACUUUCUUUCUUGGGAAAAUGAGUGAAACGUUUAUGGCAUUAGUUGGACAUUAAAAAAAAAUAUAUCCUAUAUUCAUUAGGAAAUAAUUCAAAUAGCAAUUACCAACCAGCUUUUUCUUCUUAUCUUGAUAAUGUUUUUCGUGAUGAAUAUUUAAGUUGUGUGUUGGACUUCCAUUGAAUUUUAUUAUUUAUUAUUUUUCUUUCUACAGCCUUAUCUUAUUAUAUAUCCACCUUUUCUUCUAUGUCAAAUCCUCUUGAUUUCUUUAUUUGUUAAUACUUAAAUAAUAAAAAAGUGAUGAAUUUGCUUAGGACCGAGAAAUGAGAAAAAACUUUAUAGGAACUGAUUGGAGGUGGUUAAUAUGUCAAUAUAUACAUGUCUAUUCUUUGGUUGCAUAAUAUGUGAUUUAAUUAUGGAUAUCUACUUACAACUAAAGAUUUGAAUUUUGCUAAACAUUAAUAAAUGAAUAAGUUUUAAUGAGCUGUCAUUUGAAAAAUAAUGUUCUUUUACUGAAUUUAACAUAAUUAUUGAAAAAAGCUUGAUUGCAUGAGUACAAAUCUACUUGUACCUGAGGGUUUGUACCUGAGGGUAAGGUAAGGACUGGGGUUGAUGUAAGACAUAUUUUAAACUUCUCGAAACUCUCUUGACAUUCAUCUGUCCAUUCAAAUUUUGCAUUCUUUCGAAGGAGUUUAGUCAAUGGUGUUGCAAUGAUGGAGAAAUCUUGAACAAAGCGACGAUAAUAUCCUGCUAAGUCCAGAAAACUUCUAACCUCUGUAACAUUAGUUGGAGGGUCCCAAUUGACUACUGCUUCAAUCUUCUUAGCAUCAACCAAAACUCCAUCUGCUGAGAUAACAUGUCCCAAGAAAACCACCCGAUCAAGCUAGAACUCACAUUUGCUUAAUUUAGCAUACAGUUGCUUAUUCCUCAAAAUUUGCAGUACUAUCCGUAAAUGCAUCUCAUGCUCUUCCUUGCUACGGGAAUAUACUAAGAUGUCAUCAAUAAAUACAAUAACAAAGCUAUCCAAGUAGGGCUUGAACACCCUAUUCAUGAGAUCCAUAAAAGCAGCGAGUGCAUUAGUUAACCUGAAAGGCAUAAUGAGAAACUCGUAAUGCCCAUAACGAGUUCUAAAGGCUGUCUUAGGUGUUUCGAACAACUUGAUAUUCAAUUGAUGAUACCCAGACCGCAAAUCAAUCUUAGAGGACACCUUAGCACCUUGGAGCUGAUAAAAAAAAAUCAUCAAUGCGGGGUAAAGGAUACUUAUUUCGCACUAUGACUUGAUUCAAUUGUCUAUAGUCAAUACAUAGCCUUAAGGAACCAUCCUUCUUCUUAUGAAACCUUUAUCAAGUAGCUCUUGCAAUUGUGCUUUUAACUCCUUCAAUUCUGCUGGAGCCAUUCUGUAUGGUGCCAUAGAAAUAGGAGCUGUACCUGGAUUUAAAUCAAUAGAGAAUUCAAUCUCUCUAUCUGGAGGCAAUCCGGGAAGCUCUUCAGGUAAUACAUCAGGAAACUCGCUUACUACUAGUAUAUCUUCGAAUUUAGGUCCUUCUAGGCUACUAUUCAUCAUAUAGGCUAAGUACGCUUGACAACCCUUCCGAAGCAUCUUCCUAGUGGUCAUAGCAGAAAUCACAUAAGAAGAAAGUAAACGCCUCUCCCCAAAAAAAGUGAACUUGGAUCCUUCUGGACUAUUAAAUACCACUGAUUUCUCAAAGCAAUCUAUUGUGGCAUGAUGACGGGAUAACCAAUCCAUACCUAGGAUAACAUCCAGAUCUUGUAGAUACAAAGGAAUCAGAUCCACUAACAACUCAUGACAACCCAACUUAACAACAUAAUUCCUAUACAUAUGUUCACAUACAACAGAAUCCCCAACUGGAGUACUCACAGCUAGUCCACAUUCUAAGGGUUUUAAUUCUCUAUCAGCAUGUACAGAGAAUGAUUGAGAUAUGAAAGAGAGAGUGGAACCAGGAUCUAUAAGAAUGUGUACAUCUUUAUAAAAAAUAGUUAACAUACCAGUCACCACCUCUGGAGAUGCUCGUGCCUCCUACUGUGUCAUAGCAAAGACUCUAGCGUGAGUACGAGGUCUACCAAGUUGUAUCAUUGGUCUAGACUGAGAAGAUGGAGUAGCUCCACUGGCUUUCCUUGUGCUAGGCCCAGCUUGUGCUGUAGGUACGCCCUGUGAUGGUGUCAUACCAUAUUUUAGAUUUUGAGGCGCCACUGAUCCUUACUAAGAACCACUGUCUCUAGCUAUCAGCAAUGGACAAUCUUUCUUAAAAUGCCCCGAAGAACCAUAUUCAAAACAACCCUUAUCGAAUUUUCUGCACUCCCCAGCAUGAUAUUUACCACAAGUGACACAUUGAGGCAAAUGUCUCUUCUUUUGUUCAAACCCAAAAUUAUAUCCUUGCCCUUGCCCACGUUUCUGUGCCCCAAAGGAACUACCCACUGGUUGUGCUACUGAACUCUGACUAAACUGUGGUCGAGUAACUUGCUACUCUGUACUGACAAAAAAACCUCUACCACUACCACUAUAUUUAGUUUUGGACUGAAAUGAACUGCUCCCUCUCUUAAUUGGUCUCUCUCUGAACCCCUAUGAAUCCUGCAUAUGCUUUCUACUUGUAAUACCCGGCUAGACCCCGGUGUCGGAAUUCCUACGUUCCGGCGGAUUUUCCGUUGGAAGUCGGGAUUCGAGGAUGUCGGAGCUUGCCCUAAGGGUAUAAGACAGGUUUUUAAGAUGUUUUUAAAAUGUUUUUCUCAUGUUUGCAUGUUUUUGAGUUAAGAAAAUUGAGUUUUGAAAUGAAAAGGCCAAGGGGACAAAAGCCAGGUUCGGCCGCCGAAGGUGAAGUUCGGCCGCCGAAGGUUGCAUGGUUUCGCAUGCACGUUAGGCCGCUGAAGGAAGAGUCGGUUGGUCACUACAAAAGCCCUUUUGCCCGAGACUGGAGUGUUAAACACUCUGUUUUUGGGGUCAAAGGUGGGUUCAAGCUCUUCUUGGUAUGAUUUUUCAUGUUUUCCUCAAAUCUUGCAUGUUUUAACUUGCUUUGAGCUUUGUUUUAGAGUUUUGAGCAAAAGGAAGCAAAGUUGAGCACUUGGAGAUUUUGAUUGAGUUUUCCCCCAUCUCCAAGCUUGGAUCAUCAAUCCUCUAGUUCUUCAAGAGGUAAGCAUGGAUCCUCACCUCCCCUUAUGUUUAAAGUAAGUUUUAAGAAGUUUUAGUGAGUUUAUGGCAUGAUUGGGGGUAUAAGCAUGAGUUUGAGCAUAUGUUGCUCAUAUGCGUUUUGUUGUUGUUUUUGGGGCUUGAACUAGUUUUUAGGCCUCUAUAUGCAUGAGAUAUGUUAUAUGUUAGUUCAGAAGUGUUGGUCUGCCUGUUAUGGGUGUUUGAUAGGAUUUUGGAGGCUGAGAGCAUGAGUUGUGCUCGGAUUCUGCCUUUCUGGAGAAUCCAGGUUCGGCCGCCGAAGCAAGGUUCGGCCGCCGAACCCCUUGUGGAGGCAGUUUCGGCUGCCAAACCUUGCCCCCGAAAGCUAGGCUUUUGGGUGAGAAAGGGACUUUCGGCCGCCGAAAGAGGGCGUUCGGCCGCCGAAAGUGCAUGAGUUUCGUCUCUGGACGAGACUUUCGGCCGCCGAAGGUGCCGCCGAACAUGCAUGAGUUUCGUCUCUGGAGAGGGGUUUCGGCCGCCGAAAGAGCCGCCGAAGGUGCUCUGUCCAGCCUUCUUUUGCCCAUUUUUCCAUGCAUACCUAUGAUGUUUUAAGGGGGUUUAGGGAAGAUAUUAAGAGUUAUGUUUAAGUAAGUUUGGUCCUCAUUUGAGUCCACCUGUGUAGGUGCGGACCCGAGAGACCAAGGAGGCCCACAGAGUUAGAGUUACAGAGACUGCUCAGCAGUUGACAGAGGUGAGUGGAACAGAACUGUAUUUUCAAAGUUAAGAACUGUUUUAGCAUGAUUCAUGCAUCAUUAAUGCCAUGUUUAUGUAGGAUGCUUUGCAUUAGUAUUCACCAAGUUGAUGCAUUGCAUUAUUACUUGUAUAUGUGGAUUGGACCGAGGCGAUCUCAAUAGCCCAUAAGUCUGUCAUUAUUGUAUGACCUGUGUGAGCUCCUUUGGGGCCGGGCAUUUAACUUGGAUAAGUCCUGUGAGAGCCCUUAUAGGGUCGGGCACCAUGAGUAGUUAGUGAAAGACCUGUGUGAGCUCCUUUGGGGGCCGGGCACUGACAGAGGGAGUUUUGGGAUCAUGUCCAAUCCGAGAUGUGAAAUGUUUGUGCAGUGAUGCAUCAUAUGAUAGCAUGUUUUAAAUGUGAUUUUUAGAGAUUCCGCUCACUGGGCUUUAGCAGCUCAUCCCUCUCCCGAACCCCAUUUUUUCAGGGCCUCAGAGAAGAGAAAGAGAAAGAGAAAGCAAGGGUAAAAGGCAUAUGUAAUAGUAUAGAAUAGUGGACAUGAUAAUGAUGUACAGUACAGAGUUUAUGUAAUGUAUAGAAAUGAUGUAGCAGUGUGCUUGGCCCUAGUGUAUGUUUAUCCCUUUGUACAUGAUCCUUUUAUGUAUUGAGAUAAUGUUGUUAUGAUGCGCUAGGCUUGGUGCAUGGUAGUCUUUCUAUCUCUGUAGUUACUGUAUGGUACCAUAGCAGGUAUCACUCUUUGAGUGCAUACAGACAGAGCAUGCAUAGUCCAGGCUUAGUUGAUGAGAAAAGUUUCAAGAAAAGAAAAGUUAGAAAAGCAAAGAAAGAAAAAAGUUUCAAGAAAAGAAAAGUUAGAAAAGCAAAGAAAGAAAAAAAAAAGAGUAAGUAACAGUUUUAAGCUUAAGUAUGAUCAUGUAUGGGAUUUAUCAGGUACACAGAGUUGACAGUAGGCUUACUACGGGUCCCGGCGGCCUUAAGCCGAUCUGGAUCCUAGUGCCGGUGAUGGUCCGGUAAGCGGGCUGUUACACUACUCAUCUUCUGCUCAUACUCUUUCUCUUCUUGCUUAACUUUCUCAAUGUUCAAGGUUGCUUCCACCAACUCUCUGAAAUUAUUACCUCUGAACUAGGUCAUAGAUGAUCUGAUAUUGACAUGUAGACCCUAUCUGAAUCUGUCACAUUAGCUUCCUCAAAAGGCAGUAUGUAACAUCCUCUGGGCCCACAACAGUAGAUAUUGUCCGCUUUGGGAGAGCCCAUGGCCCAUCUUACCCCUCACGGUUUUGUUUCUAAGGGAGAGCCUAAGCCCGUCUUACCCCUUAAAACGCGUCUACUGUGGUCUCUUGGGGCUUGCCCUUAUAAGGCGUCCCCCCUCCUUACCUCUUUCCGAUGUGGGAUAAGGGCAAGCCCCAAGAGACCACAGUAGACGCGUUUUAAGGGGUAAGACGGGCUUAGGCUCUCCCUUAGAAACAAAACCGUGAGGGGUAAGAUGGGCCAUGGGCUCUCCCAAAGCGGACAAUAUCUACUGUUGUGGGCCCAGAGGAUGUUACACAGUAUGUCUGAAACAAAGUAAUAGAGGUCUUCAAACUUGUCAACAUACAUUCUUAUUGAGAGGCUUCCUUCAAACAACCUGAAAAAGGCAUCCUGUUUUCCCUUUCAUUAACUUUCUGAUAAAUACUCUUGGCGAAAUUCGUAUAUAAAUUGAUCCCAAGUCAAUCUGACUCCAUGUCUGUGACGUAUGCCAUCAAACCAACCAUCAGUCUUACCCUGAAGCAAUCCAUAUACAUUAUCUACCUUAUCUGCAUCAGUCAGCUUCAUUAAUUCAAACACUUUUAUCACUUUUUUUAACCAUUUAUUUGCAAUGUCAACAUCAGAAGAACCCUCAAAAUCAUAAGCCCCCAAACGUCUAGCACGAUCCACUAUCUCCCACGGAUCUCUAAGUUUAGCUGUAACAGCUGCUGUAACUACUUGUGCCCCAAAAGCACCCAGGUCUGCAUUUAUCUGAAAAGGAUUGGCUGGUGUUACUGGUGGAACGAGAUGUGGAGCUGCAGGUGCGACAGGAGGUGCAACUGCGGGUGCCGAAGGAGGCGGUGCUGCAGUUGGAUAUGCUUCUGAUUCAACACCAUGAGAAACAGAAUCUCCAUGCCCUUCUCCGCUCUCAGGUAAAACAUGAUCUGCCACCCUUUCUAGAGGUGGAGGUGUAACUAUAGGAUCCCUAUGAGGUCGACCAAUAUCAGCUAAUCUAGCUGUACGAACACCACGAUCUCGACUUCGAUUACCUACUCUGGGCGGCAUUGUCCUACAAACGAAAAUACGAAAAGAAUUAUCAGAAUAUAAUUAACAAUACUAACUCAAGAAAAGUCUACAGAAUCUAUAAAUCUAAGCUCUGAUACCAAAAAUUGUCACACCCAUUCUCUAAUCUGUAGAGACGGAUAUGACUCGAAAAACUGACAGAAUUUCCCUUGAUAUAUAUAUAUAUAUAUAUAUAUAAAUAUGUAUAACCUGCUAUAAUUUUAAAAUAUUAAACAUAAAAGAGAGGACCGAUGGAUGGUCUAGUCAAUUCAUAAUAUAUUUACACCAAACAGAAUAUAUCCAUCACUUGAAUAUACAAUUUAUAUAUUAUCUUCUAAAAUUACAAAAAAAAUUGCAAAGGACUUAGGAUUGGCCUAACCUCCACUAGACUCUGAGUGGACGAAGUGGAAGGAAGCACAAAACUAGAAGUUGAAGACUGCUAGGAGUGGAACAACAAAAAGGAUCUGUAAUAUUAAAAGUAUAAGGGGUGAGUACAAUCUACUCAGUGAGCGGAUAAAUAAAUAACAAAGGGGAAAUUAUAAAGUUUGGGUAUUUAAUAGCACCAAAUACUUAGCUAAAAUAGGUCAGCUGAAUAAAUACAAUUUAAAUCAAUUAAUAUAAAAUAAGCUGAAUAUAAAAUGCUAAGAUUUCACUUCUGGAUAAUGAAUCCAAAAAUUAUGAAUGUGAAAAAAAAAUCCGUAUACACUCAUAACAUGCUCCCUUUAGAUAAUGCUAGCAUCUCAGGUGUGAUAAAAUAAAAUAAUGACAACCUGAUAGCAAUGUUGGCAUCUUGGGCAUCUUGGGCUCUGUGAUGACAAUAUUGGCCCAAGAGCUAAUAAAAUACUGGUCAUACACAUGUGCAGAGCUACCCCAAAGGGUGAUCACCUGACAUACGCCCCAAAGGUUGUCUGUAUAUCAAGCGAUGUCCCAAAGACAGUAUAAAUAUAUACUAAGCUGAAAAUAAAUCAGCUGUCAUCAAUGUAUUAUCUCUUCGGUGCAUAUACAGAGUGUAAUCGGCUAUUUAUUCAGCUAUGUUUUAAAUUCAAUUUUUAUUCAUUCAAGAAAUACAAAUUCAUUUUAUCCUUUCUCAUUUUAAAUAAAUAAAAUAGCAUAUACAUAUAUAAAUAUAUUUAAGAAAAGCAUCAAUAUUAUAUAUUUAUCCACUCACCAAUACUUGGGACAAAAUAACCUUAGAUCGCCGAAGUACCCCUAUUAUCUAUACCGGAAGCUGGGUCCUCCCCUAGAAUUAAGAAGAAAAAUAAUAUAUCAAGUGAUAAGCAAAUAUUCUAGAAUGAAAAUAUAAAACGUAAAAUGCAAAAUUUUAAAUAUAUUUUCAUAUAUAUAUUUUUAAGAAAAAUUCGACAAUAUUUCAGCAUAGUUAGACCUCCCAAAAUUACACAGACUCAAAAAAAUACACAAUAAACUAUAAAUAUUAUUUAGAUCAACCUAUGAAAAUCAUCAAUCUAAAAAAAAUAUAGAAUCUCAUUAAUUGGGUCUAACUAAAACAUAUCCCCUUUUAAUUCUCAGAUCGCAAAAAUCACUAUUUAAUGGUAGAGAAAAUAAAUUAUAUCGUAAUAAUUCAAAUAAAAAGGAUAAAACUCACCUAUCCAAAUAUUAGAGUCUCUGGAAGAAAUUAUUAAAUUUCAAAUCAGGAUAUUUGUUUAAAUUAGGAUCUAGCAAUUUCGGAAAUUUAUGGAUUGAUUGGGUNNNNNNNNNNNNNNNNNNNNNNNNNNNNNNNNNNNNNNNNNNNNNNNNNNNNNNNNNNNNNNNNNNNNNNNNNNNNNNNNNNNNNNNNNNNNNNNNNNNNNNNNNNNNNNNNNNNNNNNNNNNNNNNNNNNNNNNNNNNNNNNNNNNNNNNNNNNNNNNNNNNNNNNNNNNNNNNNNNNNNNNNNNNNNNNNNNNNNNNNNNNNNNNNNNNNNNNNNNNNNNNNNNNNNNNNNNNNNNNNNNNNNNNNNNNNNNNNNNNNNNNNNNNNNNNNNNNNNNNNNNNNNNNNNNNNNNNNNNNNNNNNNNNNNNNNNNNNNNNNNNNNNNNNNNNNNNNNNNNNNNNNNNNNNNNNNNNNNNNNNNNNNNNNNNNNNNNNNNNNNNNNNNNNNNNNNNNNUCAAUAUAUUUUGCUUACUAUUGACUAUGUUUGAAAGUGGGUGGAGGCUAAGACCACUAGAACUAAUUAUUCAAAAGUUGUUUCUAUUUUUUUGAAAACUCAUAUAUUUAUCAGGUUUGGAGUUCCACGAUUACUAGUGAGUGAUCGAGGAACCCACUUUUGCAAUAAGGUGAUCGAAUCGUUGUUGAGAAAAUAUGGAAUAACUCAUCGUACAUCUACAGCAUACCAUCCAUAGACAAACAAUCAAACGGAGAUUUCUAACAGGAAAAUUAAAUCGAUCCUAGAGAAAACUGUCAAUAUUAAUAGGAAAGAAUAGAGCAACCGCCUUGAUGAUGCACUAUGGGCUUAUACGACAGCCUAUAAGACCCCAAUAGGCAUGUCACCAUUUCCGCUAGUUUAUGGCAAGCCUUGCCAUUUUCCAGUUGAGCUAGAGCAUAAAGCCUUUUGGGCAAUAAAGCAAUGGAACAACAGCUUAAUAGAGGCAAGUUCUAACCAAAAGUUGCAAUUGCAGGAACUAGAGGAAAUAAGGAAUGAAGCCUACGAGACUGCCAGAAUUUACAAUGAGAAAACCAAAGCUUUUCAUAAUGAAUCAAUUUCUCGGAAAAAUUUUCAAGUACGCCAAAAAGUUUUACUUUUUCAUUCUCGGUUAAAAAUUUUUCCAGGUAAAUUGAGGACACGAUGGAUUGGUCUGUUUGUUGUAAUUAAGACUUUUAACCAUGGAGCCUUGCAAAUUCAAAGUCUUGAAACUAGUAAAACUUUUAAAGUGAAUGGCCAUAGACUCAAACCCUUUUAUAAGGGAUUUAAGCCCAAUGAUGAAGAAAUUAUAGUUUUGGGGUACCACAGAUCGAAACUUGAAGGAAGGAAAGUCCAGUCUAGGACAAUAAAUAAGAGCGCUACUUGGAAAGCAACCCAAUAUUCCAGAUUUGCCCAAACCUGUAGAGUCACAAGUAAGUUUUCUUUUAAUUUUUGUUUUUGUUUUAAUUAAUUUAUUUGCUAUUUUUUGAGCAGAUUAGACCUUCUGUGCAAUUUGAAAAUUUAAAGAACCUUUUUGGAGGUAAGUGAUUACUUUUCUCCAUAAAAAAGGUAAGUUCUGUUCUGCUUCAUCUUAUUUUCUACCUUAAAAAAAUAUAAAAAAAUAAAUAAAUAAAUAAAAGAAAAAUAUAUAUAAAAAAUAAAAAAAAACCUAAUUCUUUCUCUCUCCGAUCAUCUUCAUCUUCUAUCUUUUUCUUUUUUUUCUUUUCUUCCCUACAGAUGGCCCGCGCCGCCUCUUCCCGUGCCACUUCCUCCGCCGCCAAAAGUCACGCUGCCAGCGCUUCGAUCCGGAGCCGCUGCUCGUCGAGCUGCCGCUAGACCAUGACAAAGAUCCCAUCGGACGCAGCAACCAGGCCUCACGCGCAGACCGAACCAGCGGACACUCCAUCAUCGCCGGUCGCGCGUCCCUCCUCACCGGUCGGGCGUCCCUACUCGCCGGUCGCACGUCCCUACUCGCCGAUCGCGCGUCCCUACUCGCCGGUCGCGCGUCCCUCCUUGCUGGUCGCAACCUCUUUCACGCCGACACCGCCGCCUCCAUCGCCGUCCACUUCCUUGCCGGAUGCAACCACGCGCCAGCAUUCGCAGAUGGAAGGUAAGGUUCUUGUCUAUGAUUUAAUGAGUGAUGAUGAGGAAGAAUGGGAGGUGAAAUCCGAAAUGCUAGGCAACUCCAAGGACAAAAAAAUGCAACCCAUAACCAUAAAAUUAAUCAUGGAAGCUUCGGAGGACAGCAACGAGGACACAACCUCGAGUGCCAGUGAAGAAAUCCAGGCCGAUUCUCAUCUAAAGAAAAAGCAGAAAAAAUGGAUGCCCAAUAUAGGUAGCGGGAAGGCUAGAUAUCUACCUGUAGAACAAGACCUUUAUGGCAAUUUUAGCUUUGUCGGCGAUGAUGAGGUCAAAUAUAAAAUCUUUCUCCAUUCUGAUAUUUAUGCUUGUAAGAAAAUAAAUGAUGAUAGGAUCGUAUGAUGAAGUUUAUGCUUUAAUUGAUACAAUUGAAUGGAGAAAAUUUUUUGUUAUAGAUUAUACCUCCUAUGUUGAGCUUUGCCGUGAAUUUUAUGCAAUCUAUGAGUUUUCUUUUGAUGCACAGGAUUUUAAUUUGAAUAUUUCUACAAUUCGUUUUAGGUUGCAAAAUAAAAUGGUCCAAUAUUCAGUCACAAUAUUUAAUUUGUACUUGGGUAUUUAUGAUAAUGAAUAUGUCAAAACUGUUGAAUAUUUAGAUUUAUUAUGUGACUAACCAGCGGAUUGGGAUCCAAUUUUAGCAUACAAAGAUUUAACAGGGAAACCUGAGCUUAAAUUUAGGGGUGGAAAAUCUAAAGCUAAUGAUAUUAAGAGCUCUGGUCUUAGAUACAUUCACAGGUUCCUGUGUUAUACAUUUUCUGGAAAAAAUAAAGAUCCAACCAAACUCACAAAAGAUGAACUCUUUUCUUAUGGUGCAUGUUAAAAAAGAAAAAAGUUAAUUUUAGUUUUUGGUUAUCCUUCCAAUUUAAAAGUAUAUCUGAUGUUGGGUGUAGUAUAUACUUGGAUUUUGUAAUUUCAAUGCUAGCAGUGGGAUUGGGUGCACUUGAUAUUAUACACAUAGCUGAGCCUAUUCUUCCACUUGACAUAUCUGCACUUAAUUCAUGGGCUUACUUUGCCUCAACGAGAGGAAAGAAUUAAAGAAUUUGUAUUUUGUCCUCCAGGUCAUAUCAUUCCACUAUGAUCGCGUUUAUUCGGACAGAGGACCAGUCAGCUUCAGCCUCCUUAGCAGCAUCUCUAGAACCUAGUGAUCAAGCCUGCGUAGCCAGAAUUGAGGCUAAAAUGCACCAUAUGGAUGCCAAAUUGGAUGUCAUUCUCUCUCACUUGGGAUUGCCCAUACCCCAACCACCAGCAGUUUGAGUUCUAUGCGAGUUACUUCUCAGGGAAGUUCUCUUUGACUUACUUUUAUUUUAUUUUGUGAACUUCCCCGUUUGAUUGAAUUUUUUCUACAUUGAGGAAAAUGUGAGCAAGUGUGAGGGGAGAUGUGGUAUGAUAAUAGAAGUGUUUUUUUUGUGAUUAAUGAGAUUGAUUGAUGAUUGAUGAACAGAUAUAUAUCUGCUGUAUUUUGAAAAUUUUGGAAAUUUUUAUUCUUUUUCUGCCAUUUUUCUUUUGGUUUUUGCUAAAUUAUUUCUCAGAUUUAAUUUUUAUUGUAAUACCCGGCUAGAGUCCGGCAUCGGAAUUCUACUUUCCGGUGGAAUUUCGGAUGUCGAAAUCCUCUAGAAGGGUAAGAUUUAUGUUUUUGUAAAGUAUUUGAGUAUGUUUUAAUGUUUUAAGUAUAAAAGGAAAUGAGUUUUUGAAUGAAAAGCACCAAGGAAGAUUUGCCAGGUUCGGCCGCCGAAGGUGAAGUUCGGCCGCCGAACAUGCAUGAGUUUGGAAUCACGUUAGGCCGCCGAAGGUGGUCUAGCCAGCCACCUAUAAAAGGCCAUAGGUCGGUGAAUGGAUAAGAUUUCUUCCAUUUUCACAGGCAGAGGUGAGACCAUGCUCUUCCUUGGGUGAUCUUCAUGUUUUCUUUAAAUCUUUCAAAGUUUUGAUGGGUUUUAUGUUGUUUUGAAACUUUUGAGCAAAUCAACCAAAAGGUUUGAAGUUGGAGACUUUGAGGGAGAGUUUCUCCAUAUCUCCACGUUGGGAUCGUUUAUCUUCUUAUUUGUAAGAGGUAAGUGAAGAUCAUGAACUUCUUUUCAUGUUUUAUGAAGGUUUUAUGGAGUUUUAUGGGUAGAGAUGCAUGUUUAGGUAAAGUUGAGGUUUUGGUUGAUUUGUGGUCAAAGCAUGCUUAUGUGUUUAGUUGUGUUGUUUGUUGGGGUUUUAAGUUAGUUUUGGACCACUUUGUGCCUAUACUUGAGUAUAUACAGUUUGUGGAAUGUUGGGUUGCAUGUUUGAGUGAGGUUGGGUAAGUUUUGCAUGAGGCAGAGCAGGGUUCUGCCUUACUGGAGAACCCAGUUUCGGCCGCCGAAGGAAAGUUCGGCCGCCGAACAUGCUAAGGAGGUGGUUUCAGCUGUCUAAGCUUGCCUAAGCUUGCCCCCGAAAGUUUGGACUUUCGGCUCUGGAGGGGGGUUUCAGCCGCCGAAGGUUAGGGACUUUCGUCUCUGGAGAGGACUUUCGGCAGCCGAAGUGCCGCCGAAAGUGCUUGAGUUUCGUCUCUGGAAGGGACUUUCGGCCGCCGAACCUGCCGCCGAAAGUGCCCUGUCCAGCCUUCUUUUGCAUGUUUUACUUGAUUGUUUUAGGAUAUUUUAGGGGGGUUUUGCCCGUCUAGAGCAAGCUCUAGUAAGGGGUUUCAGAGAUAGUGCAUGCACAGGUUGAGCUUAGGUUCAGAGCAAAAUUUUAUGUUUUACAGAAAAUGUAUGAUCAUGUAUGGGAUUUUACAGGUACACAGAGAGUAUAGCAGGCUUGCUACGGGUCCCGGCGACCUUAAGUCGACCUGGAUCCUAGCAUCGGUAGCGGUUCGAUUUUCGGGUCGUUACAUUUAUGAUUUCUAGUAUUUGCAUAUUUUUUCAAAAAAAAUAAAUAAAUAAAUAAUUUUUUUUUUUACAACUCCUUACUUGCCAUAAGAAAUUGAUAUGUCCUUAAUCAUAAAAUACAAGUUCUUAUGCUAUUUGUAUGCUAGCUUAAAUAGAAUAAGUUGAUCAUUAUUCAUUUUAUUAGUCUUAUUUUUAAGACUUGUUUUGAAAGCUUAUAAAGUAUGGUCCUUGCCUAAAUAGUUGGAUAAUAAAUGCAUGUUCUGUAAAUAAAUUGCUGCCCUUUAUUAAGAAUAACUUUAAAGACAUUAUUUAGAUCACACGUUUAUAUGAAAAUUAAGGGGAGUCAAAAAGCUACAGAAAAAAAUAUAGAAAAAGAAAAAGUAAAAAUUAAUGCACUCCUAUGGCUCAUUCAUCUAAUUACUUGAUUAAUUGGUUACCAACCCGAUGGCCCAAGUAGUACAGUACUUGGUGACCCCUUAAGGUGAUUUCGUAUGGAAAAAUCGGUGUUUGAGAGAGUAUCGUCCCUUCUGGGCCGUUUAAAAAACUCGUCCAUACCUUUUUAUUAUGUAACUAUGAGUGGAGUUAGUAGCCACCUGAGCUGAAUAACCUGGGGCAAGUGACUCAGUAACCAUUUGUUUCACAUUCACUUUAUCGGUUUCAAACAAGAUAUAAUAAGAAUUGCAAAUAAUAAAUAAUAAAUUCUCAAGUCUUUAAAUUUUAUUGGUGAUAAAAUAGGAGUAGUAGAUUUUAUUUUAAACUAUUAAGUUUUGUCGUUUUGUACCUAUAUAAAGGCUCCUAGCAUUAAACCUAGGGCCAUCAUAUAUUCUACCUCUCUCCCUCAAUUCCUCNNNNNNNNNNNNNNNNNNUUCUUCUCCAUCUUCUUCUUUUCUUCUUCUUUUACUUAAUUGUUAUAAUUUUAUUAUAGCCAUGAGAGGCUAAAUAUUUAUUUUCAAUUGAAGGUUAAAUUAAAUUGAGGUUUGUUCAAGUUGUGAGGUUAUGCACUUCAAUUCUCUUCAUCUUAUUUCUAUUUUCUGUCAAUUUCUAAUUUCGAUUAAUUCCACCUUCAUUGUUGUUUUCUUUAGAAUUUGAGAGUCCUAUUGAAUCUCUUGGGAAAACAACUUUUAGCUAAUUAAUCUAAUUAAAAUCUAUAAUUGUUUAAUUGGGUUAAUAGCAAGUAGCAAUUAACAUAUUAGUUCAUGUUAAGAAAUUGGCAGAUUUAAUUUAAAUAAAUUACGUGUUUUUAUUGAUCAAGUUUGGGUUUUCUCUCUUAAUGCAGUUGAUUAAUUAAAUCUACACGCGUGUUGGGGUUGUUAGUUAACUUGGAAUUAAUUUAAGCGUGAAACGGAUUAAUUUAUUCAUAAGUAAGAAUUGGUGGGAUCCGCGUGUUUGACUACUAUAAUCAAACAAUAGAUAAUAAUAUGAAAUAUUUUUCUAACCAAUGAUCAUCUGCAAAAUACCUCAAUUUGAUUACCUUCAGCUGAAAGUUUUAACUAUUUAUUUGUUUCUCAAACUUCAAUUGCAUUGUUUAUUUUUUUUUCCUAUUAAGUUUAUUUUUAUUGGCUUGCCCAAGGCACAACCACAUUCAUAAAAAAAACUCUUUUCUUCUUACUUUUUCGUAUUAAACUAUUUCUCUAUUUCAAAUUGGUUAUUUAAAUUAAACAGAAUUGAGAUCUCUGUGGGAUCGAUACUCACUUACUCUACCUACAAGUUCUUAUCAAUUUAGAAAAGGGAAGUAAAUUUUAAAUUGACAGAUUCGACACCAGUCAGUUUGCUGUUAGGCACUAUGGUUCUGAUACCAUAUACGGAUUGUAUAGGAAUUUGAAAGAGAAAUUUCUAUUAACUCUAUAGCAAUUGUAUUUAUACGCAGUAUGAUGAGUAUAUUUGGUAUGCUUAUUUAUAAGGAUCGAUUAUAAUCAAUUAAUGAAAUUAAUAAAUGGAAAGAGUAUAAUAGUAGAUUGCUUAUUCAACACUCAAGCAUAUUAAAUAUAUAUAUAUAUAUUAUGAACCCAUUGGACUAAUUAAAAUUUCUAGUCGGUACAACACGGCAAUAAAAUCUCAACAAGUGUUGAAAAAUGCAACACUUAGUUGAUAACUAAGGUUUCCGUUGCGGGACUUAACUCAACACCUUAAGGCAUGAGUUGUCGACGGCCAUCUACCACCUGUGCCCGUGUUCCCAAAGGCACUCUUCUCUUUCAAGAGGAUUCGCGGUAUGUCAAGCCCUGGUAAGAUUCUUUGCUUUGCAUCAAAUUAAACCAUAUGCUCCACUGCUUGUGUGGGCCCCCGUCAAUUCCUUUGAGUUUCAUUCUUGUGAACGUACUCCCCAAGCGAGAUACUUAAUGCGUUAGCUACCGUACUGCACGAAUCGAUACGCACAGUGCCCAAUAUCCAUCGUUUACGGCUACGACUACUACAGUAUCUAAUCCCAUUCACUCCCCUAGCUUCCGUCUCUCAAUGUCAAUGUUGACCAUUGGUGUGCUUUAGCCAUUGGUGUUCUUUUAGAUCUCUAUGCAUUUUACUGCUCCAUCAGAAAUUCCCUCCACCCCUACUGUACUCUAGCUUGGCAAUUUCCACCGUCUGUCCAGGGUUGAGCCUUGGGAUUUGAUGGCAGACUUGAAAAGCCACAUACAGAUGCUUUACGCCCAACCAUUCUGGAUAACACUUGCAUCCUCUAUAUUACUACGGUUAUUGGCACAGAAUUAGUCGAUGCUUAUUUACUAGAUAUUGUCAUUGCUUCUUCUCCGAGAAAAGAAGUUCACGACACGUAGGCCUUCUACCUCCAUAUGACAUUGCUCUGUCAAGCUUUUGCCCAUUGCGAAAAUUCCAUACUGCUGCCUCCCGUAGGAGUCUGGGUUGUGUCUUAGUCCCGUGUUGCUAAUCAUCCUCUUGGACUAACUACUGAUCAUCGCUUUUGGUAAGCUAUUGCUUCACCAACUUGCUAAUCAGACGCAAGCCCCUCCUCGAAUGGAUUCCUCCUUUUGCUCCUCAGCCUAUAGGGUAUUAGCAGGCAUUUCCAACUGUUGCUUCCCUCCCAAGAGCAAGUUCUACUCACCCAUCCGCCACUGGAAACACUACUUCCCAUCCGACUUGCAUGUGUUAAACAUGUUACCAACGUUCAUCUUGAGCCAGGAUCAAACUUCCAUGAGAUUCUUAUGAAUGUAUAGCUGAAAAUCACUUAUCAAUAUUAAAUGAAAGUUUAUAGAGUGAACCCGUUGGACUAACUGGAAUUUCAAGUUAGUACAACCCGCUAAUUAAUCUCUAAGUGUUGAAAAAUGCAAUAGAUAGUUGACAUGAAAUUGGACAAUUUAUAUAAGUUAAAAUCACUUAGAUAUAUUAGAAGAGAAAUUAUGGAGUGAAUCUAUUGUUCUGUAUAGUUUAAAAUUACUCAAAGAGAAAUUAUAGAGUGAACCUAUUGAAUCAACUACAAUUUCUAGUUGGUAUAUAAGACUAAUAAAAUGUAUAGUUUGAAAGUGAUCACUCAUGCAUAUUGAUCAAACAUAAUUUAGCUACAUUUUUAUUAUCUUUAUUACUGCUUAAUUACACAUUUUUUAGCUUAAUUUAUGGAUUUUGUCAUGUUUUUACAGAAAAUGAAGAAAAUGCAAAGUUGGAGAAAAAGUGCAGAAAAAGCUGGAAAAGUGAUUGGGUCAGAGUGAUUUGGCCAAAUCACCCGCAGAAAUCAGAAGUAGGAAGCUAAGGCAGAAAUCUGGAGGCAACACACAGAAAUGAUUUGGGCAAGUGAUUUGCCCAAAUCACCCGCCCAAAUCACAUAGACGCAGAAGUUGACAGCAAAAGCGGGAAAAAUAGCAGAAAAUUAAAUUCAAAAAUAAUGAAGUCCAAAUCCACUUCAAACACUCCAAGAUUAGUCCCUUAAGCCACGAGGAGGUCUUUUCACUCAAAGAAUUCUACUCACAAUUAAAUACCAAAUCAAAAAGGGAAUCAAAGACUACAAAAGACCAAGUCAAGAUUGGGAUUUCAAAACCCUAAUUGGAUGAGGAUUCUCCUGCUAUAAAAGGGACAGCUUCCAAACCAGCAAAAUCAUCUCUCCCUCGUCGGAAUUCACUGCAGAUUUUCGACAGACUUCUCCUUCUUCUUUUCUUCUAUCUUUUUGUGUAAUUUUGUCCACCAUGAGUGGCUAAAUUCCAUCUUUUCUAGUUGAAAUUGGGGAAAUUCAUAUUUGUGAUGAAUUGGGAGAUUUAAAACUCCAUUAUUAAACUCCUAUUUGCUUUCAAUAUUUAUGCAACUUGAUCUUUCUAUAAUUAUUGCUUUGCUUUUGGAAUCAAUUUAGGCCUAUUGCUUUUAAUUGCUUGAGUAAUAUAUUGUUUGAAUGAUUUAAGUCCGUAAUUGCUUAGGUUGUUUAAACUCAAGUAUAAUAUUGCAUAAUCUAAACUUGACCACGCGAUUGGCAAGGUUAGAAUUAGGUUUCUCUAAGUCUUAAUGCAGUCAAUAGUUGUUCGAUGCUAAAAGCCCCAAGGACGUUCCUUGGCAACUCGUUGACUAGUGUUUGAUUAGCGAACAUUUCCUAAUCGAACUAGAACUAAGGAGAAAUUUGGUUGUGAGAAGCGUCUUCCACAACCAAAACUAAUUUAUUAAAUUAAAAUAGGAGUACUAAAUAAUCAAUGAUCAAUUCUAAACAAACUGAAAUUCAUCCAUGCUUCAACUAGAAUCCUUUUCCCAUUGAAAUUCUCAUUUAUUUAAGUUAUUGCUUUCUCUUGCUCUUUAGAUUUAAUUCAUCAAAACAAACCCCCCUCUUUUAUUUAUUUGUUAUUUAUUUGCCUUAGUCAUUAUUAAGAAGAUCUUUGAUGUCAAAUCCCUGUGGUUCGACCCUAUUACCACUAUCUACAAGUUAAUUGUUGAUUAUUUAAUAGGUUUUAUUUUUGACGGCUUUGACAACCGCUAUCAAAAAUUGGCGCCGUUGCCGGGGAUUUGAUCUAACUAACGUAUUUUCCUUUUAUGACCAGGACUGUUCUUUACGAUCCAGAAAUUGAACGCACUGCCAAAACCUUACAAGCAUGGCUACAGUAAGUAUGUCUUUUCUUUCUUCUCAAAUUUCUGAACUAACCUCUAUUGUGAGAAAUUAUGGUAUAGGUCAAGCUCAACAAGUUCAACAACUUCAGCGAAUUAGACCAUGUGGGAUUUGCACAUAUGUAGGACACCCAACUGAUCGAUGUCCUACACUUUAUGAGGAUUACCAGCAAGUACAUACCUUUGGAGGAUUCAAUAGCCAGCCAAGACAUGAUCCCUACCUUGAUACCUACAAUCCAUGUUGGAGGGACCACCCGAAUUAUGGCUAUGCAAGGGCUAACUACUACCAAAACUAUCAAGCCCAAGCAACACCUCAAAACUCUAACAUGCAACUUGAAGAGAUGGUGAGGACAUUGGAAAUUUCUGGGCAAAUUCUCCAACAGCAAGUGGAUCAAAUGGUCAACUCAGUGAAUGCACAUAUAUUGAGAAGAGAGGAAGAGGUUCAAGAUGUCAAGGCUGAUGAUGAAAGCUCCCAAGAAACAGAACGAGUUGCUGAGUCUGCUGCACAAAUCGCCACUGCACUUGAAGUUGAACCAGCUGUUGUCCAAACAGCACUUGUAGAAGCCUCUGCCAUCCAAGAGACAGCAAUACAUACUGCUGCUGCUGAAAAUAUUGCAGCACCUGCUGUAAAAAAUUCAGACUUUGUUGCUGUCCAAGCCGCUGAAGAUAGAGACAGCAACUACUGUCCAUUUGCUGAAACUGCCGAAAUUACACCAGAAAUUACAGAAUUUGCUGUUGUCCAAGUUGCUGAAAACAGAGACAGCAACUGCUGUCAAACUGCCAUAACCACUGAUGCCCGCAAAUCAGCACCAGUCGAAGUACCUGUUACAUCCCCUGCUGCUGUCCAUAAACCAGCAACUGCUGGAAGUGCCCCAACUGAACCAGAACCUGCUGAAAUUUCUGAAACAGACCAGCCCCUUGCUGAACCAGUACAACCCACUGCUGUGUUUGCCCAAACAACUGCUGAUAUGGCAGAAUACAAUAUGCAAGCUGUUGUAACCGAACCAGCCCAAAAACCAGAAAUUUUUACCAAAAAAAUUCCAGAACCAGCCCCCAAACAAACAACAAAGGCAGAACACUAUUCACCUGAACAGCCAGCAGAGAAGUAACAAGCAGAUUGUUGUUUGCCCAAACAGCAUGAGAGAGGAGAAUCCAGUACAACCAGAUUGCUAGCACAACUAAGUUGUUGUUUGCCCUCCCAAACUGAGAUAAACCCAAGGCAGAAUGCUAGUGCCAUCACAUUGAGGAGUGGAAAAGAGCUGCAAGACAACAGGGCUGAGCAAAAGCAAAAACAGGUCACAGAGGAAAAUCUGCCAGAAAGUGAUCAGGGUCAUCGAUCUGCCCAAAUCACAGACCUAAUCGAUGGACAGACAGUACUGCCCAGCAGUGGUGAUUUGCCCAAAUCACUAAAGAAGGCAGAAAUUGAUCUGCCCAAAUCAACAGAUCAGGCAGAGUCCAGUCAAAGGUAGAAACAGCAACCAGCAGAAAAAUUCAAGGUACCUCCUCCCUUCCCCAAAAGAUUUGCAAGAUCUCAAAAAGAAAAAGAGGAAAAAGAAAUACUUGAGACACUUCGCAAGGUGGAAAUCAACAUAGCUCUACUUGAUGCUGUCAAACAAAUACCAAGGUAUGCUAAAUUUCUCAAAGAGCUAUGCACCAAUAGAAGGAAACUUGCUGAACAUGAAAAGGUAAGUGUGGGGGAGUGUGUCUCAGCUGUCAUUCAAAGGAAGCUUCCAACCAAAUGUAAGGUGUAACGAUCCGGAAACCGAACUGCUACCGGUGCUAGGAUCCAGAUCGACUUAAGGCCGCCGGGACCCAUAGCAAGCCUGCUAUACACUCUGUACAUCUGGUAUAAUCCCAUACAUGAUCAACAUUUUCCAUAAAACUCUGAACUUUGCAUUUCAUUUUAAAACUUUUCUCUAUAUACCAGGCUUAACCUAAUCAUGCUCUGAAAACUUCUCUGUAAGUCCGAUGUGGGAUACCUUGAUCCCUGAGCGUCAUCGCUCAACACACCGUACUCCUGAGACAAACCCCUUACUGGAACCCUCAUAAAAUGCUGCAGUUGGGUUAACAUACAAUACGUUAAGCCCGGACCAAGCUUGACCUGUGCAUGCACUAUCUCUGUGAUCUCUGGGAUCAUCAACCCACAUACUAGAUGGGCAACAUUACAUAUCAAGCUUGGUUCUCAUAAAACAUCAUAAAACAUAAAAAGAUCCAUGUACAAAGGGAUUAUCCAAACACUAGGGCCAAGCACAAUACUAUAACACUGAAUACAUUACAUGCCAUAACAUGUCUGUACAUCACUUUACAAUACAUCAUGUCCACUACCUUUCUAUUACACUGAGACAUACCCAUAGCCAUAACCAUAGCCAUGCUCUACUCUUGCUGACUCUGACUUUCCCAUAGCUAACUCUGGCCCUGAAAACAUGGGGUUAAGGGAAUGGGGUGAGCUAUAAAGCCUAGUGAGCAGAACUAUAAAAACAUUAAAACAUAUGCCAUCAUGGAAUGCAUCACAUCACAGUAAAUCACAUCAAGGAUGGACUGACUCAAAACUCCCUCUACUCUGUGCCCGGCCCUCGAAGGAGCUCCUCAGGACUUCUGUUACAUACAUAGCUCUGUGCCCAGCCUUCAAGAGGCUCCUCAGGACUUCUGUUACAUGCAAUACUAGAGGGCUAAUGAGUCAUCCUGUUGUCCAUCCACAUGUACAAUAACCAAUGCAAUGCGUCAUCUUCGUGAACACUAAUGCAAUCAACCUAUAGACAUGGCAUUCGUGAUACAUGGAACAUGCUAAAACAUUCAUUCAUUGAAAAACAUAGGUUAGUUCCACUCACCUCUAGCAACUGCUGGGCUAACUCUGGACUCACUCUGAAGCAGCUAACACUGCUAAACACCUCGAUUCCUCAGGUCCGAUCCUACACAGGUGGACUCAAAUGAGGGACCAAACAACUCUAUCAUAGCUCUUAACAUUCCCCCAUAAACCCCCUAAAACACCUCAAGCAUGCAUGGAAAAACAAGCAAAAAAAGGCUGGACAGGGCACCUUCGGCGGCUGAACCCCCUCUCCAGAUCCGAAAGGCAGGCACUUUCGGCGGCACCUUCGGCAGCCGAACCCCCUCUCCAGAUCCGAAAGUCAGGCAUCUUCAGCGGCCGAACCUUCCUUCGACGGCCGAAAGUCUGCUUUAAAGCCAAAACUCAACUUUCGGGGGCAAGGUUAGGCGGCCAAACCAUGUAUCCACAGGCAGCUUACCUUCGGCGGCCGAACCUGAGUUCGUCAAGAACUCAGCCUCUCAUGCAUACAAGCCUCUCAAACCUUCCAAACACCCAAAAUAGGCAUCCAACCUCUCCAAAACAUGCAAACACCCUUAUCCAUGCAUCUCAGAGCUUAACACAAGCUUAAACUCCCACAAACAUCAUCAUAAAGCAUACAUAGGCAUAAAGGGUACAUAAACCCUAUCAUGCACAACCAUGCAAAACCAUGCAAUCCUAACCCUUUUUCCUUCAUAAAACUCACUUAAAACACCAUGAAAGCCAAGGAUCUACACUUACCUCUUGAAGAUCAAGAGUUGGUGUGACCCGAACUUGAAGAUCUGGAGAUCCAAGCUCCAAAAGUCUCCAAGCUCCACCUCCUUGCUCCAAGCUCACAACUCUUCAAAACAAGGAGAAAACUCAUGAAAACCUUGAAGGAUUUGAAGAAAAACCAUAAAACAACCCAAGGAGAGCAUGAACUCACCUUAGCCCAAGAAAGGAGAGAAAACUCCCCCUUUUUUCGGACAAGGGGCCUUUUAUAGGCGGCUUGGUCAAUCAUUUCCGGCAGCCAAACCUGCAUGCAAACCUCCACCACGUUCGGCGGCCGAACUUCACUUUCAGCGGCCGAACCUGGCCAAUGCCUCCUUGGUCUUUUCUCUUCAAAACUCAAAUCCUUUGCAUUCAAAACCAUAAAACACUUAAAAACCAUUUAGAAAACCUUUCUCUUUUACCCUUCUAGGAACCUCUGACAUCCUCGAAUUCCAUAUUCCAACGAAAAUCCCGCCGGAAAGUAAGAAUUCUGAUGUCGGCGUCUAGCCGGGUAUUACAUAAGGAUAGAGGAAUGUUUGCCAUUUCAUGCAAAAUAGGCAACAUAGGGAUAAAGAAGGCCAUGUGUGACCUUAGGGCUUCAAUUAAUGUCAUGCUCCUUUCCAUCUUUAACUUGUUAAAUGUAGGUACACUCAAGGCAACCAGCAUAGUAAUCCAAUUGGCCGACCGAUCUAUUGUCUACCCCAAAGGAGUCCUAGAAGAUGUGUUGGUACAAGUGGACCAACUAGUCUUCCCAGCUGAUUUUUAUGUCAUUGACAUGGAGGAGGAUAAGGGCAACAUCACCUCUGACAUCCUACUUGGGAGACCAUUCUUGAGCACAGCCAGAACAAAAAUAGAUGUGCAUGAUGGCACAUUAACCAUGGAGUUUGAAGGGGAAGUUAUCAAGUUUAACGUUUAUGAUGCCAUGAAAUUCCCCAAUGAUGUUUCUCUUGUUUAUGGUCUUGAUGUAAUUGAUGAUUUAAGUCAAGAAAUCUUUGAUUUUGAUCUAGAUGACUCACUCAAUGCUGAUUUAUGCAGAUCUGAAGAAAUGGACAGCAGCAGUAGCAGCACCGAAAAAGAGACAGUAUACUGUUCACUGCUGGUUGCGGGUGAUCUGCCCAAAUCACCAAUACAGGCAGAUCCCGACUUGUCCAAAUCACUGGAGCAGACAGACAUGACAGAGAGUAAUCUGCCCAAAUCACCAGACCCAGCACCAGAAAAUCUGCCCAAAUCAGUAAGCAGACAGCAAGCAGUAUCACAGACAGCAGACCUGAAAACUCUGCCCGAACACCUCAAAUAUGCCUAUUUGGGGGCUGGAAAUACACUUCCAGUCAUAGUAUCCAAUCAACUCAGCCAGCAAGAAGAGAAAAAACUCCUAAAGGUGUUGAGGAAACACAAGAAAACAAUUGGGUGGACCUUGGAGGACAUAAAAGGCACCUCAAGACCAUUCAGUGGAGGCUCAUCUCACCAGAAUCGAAGACAGGAUGCAACACCUGCUACAACUGCUGGUGGACAAUUUUCUGCACGCAGACCAUCAUCACCAGUGAUUUGCCCAAAUCACUUAACCAAAUCACCCACUGGCCAGGAAGUCCCUUUCUCUCUUCUUUUACUUUAUAUGUUUUACAUUGAGGACAAUGUUUGCAAUAGGUGUGGGGGUACUGCUAGGUUAUUUUUGCAUUGAUUACAUUAUCUUUUGCUUUUUUUUUGUUUCUUCUUGCAUCUUUUUGCCCUAUAACACACACCAAAAUUUUUUUUCCCUUUCACACAUUUUUCUUUUGCAAAAAUUUCUCACUUUCUGCACACACACAUAAUUUUGUCUUAGCCCCUUGCUCUACUCAGCAUAGAUAACAAAGUUGAAAUAGCUCCCUAUCUCAUGACCCCAUUAAAUUUUCUAACCCUUUAAACCUAAAUUGAGCCAUUUACAGUGUGUUACCUUUACUUAGGGAGUUCUUUCUCUUGAAUUGAAUCUUUAAAUCUGUUGUGGCCAAUAGGAAAGGAAAAUAAAAAUACAUGCAAUAAAAAGUUAGUGUAACUCUUUAUGAGUUGAUUUGCCCAAAUUGUUAUGAAAAGGAAAAAGAAAAAGAAAAACUCAGCAAAUCAAAAAGCACAAAACACAACCUGUUUCGAUGGUUUAAGACUAUGAACAGAGCUAGUAGCCACUUGGACAAGUGACCAACUGAGUAACCGGGGGUGUGUAUCACCAAUAUGUACCUUCGCAUAAAAAGGUUGGUAACUUUUUCAGGCAAGAAUAAAAAGUGCUGCUGAAUAAAAAAAGCUUAAAAGGGGGCAAGUCACUCUUAGGAGUUGCAUUAAACCUAAUAUAAAAAAAUAAGCAUGAUCAAAUAAAAAACUUUCCCUUGGCCAUGGUAGGUGAUGGGAAACAAGGAAAGAGGGGACAACCUUAGUACAUGUAUCCUACACUGUGCUGUUUCAACUUAGGAAUCUAGAGGGGGCUGAUUAAGUGGUACUUAGGCUCAAAAGAAAAAGAAGCUUGAUUGACUAAGUUAUUUAUUGCUUGAGGACAAGCAAAAAGGUAGGUGUUGGGGUAUUUGAUCAAACAUAAUUUAGCCACAUUUUUAUUAUCUUUAUUACUGCUUAAUUACACAUUUUCCAGCUUAAUUUAUGGAUUUUGUCAUGUUUUUAUAGAAAAGGAAGAAAAUGGAAAAUUGGAGAAAAAGUGCUGAAAAAGCUGGAAAAGUGAUUGGGUCAGAGUGAUUUGGCCAAAUCACACACAGAAAUCAGAAGCAGGAAGCUAAGGCAGAAAUCUGGAGGCAAUACACAGAAACGAUUUGGGCAAGUGAUUUGCCCAAAUCACCCGCCCAAAUCACAUAGACGCAGAAGUUGACAGCAGAAGCGGGAAAAACAGCAGAAAAUUAAAUUCAAAAAUAAUGAAGUCCAAAUCCACUUCAAACACUCCAAGAUCAGUCCCUUAAGCCACGAGGAUGUCUUUUCACUCAAAGAAUUCUACUCACAAUUAAAUACCAAAUUAAAAGGGGAAUCAAAGACUACAAAAGACCAAGUCAAGAUUGGGAUUUCAAAACCCUAAUUGGAUGAGGAUUCUCCAGCUAUAAAAGGGACAGCUUCCAAACCAGCAAAAUCAUCUCUCCCUCGUCGGAAUUCACUGCAGAUUUUCGGCAGACUUCUCCUUCUUCUUUUCUUCUAUCUUUUUGUGUAAUUUUGUCCACCAUGAGUGGCUAAAUUCAUCUUUUCUAGUUGAAAUUGGAAAAAUUCAUAUUUGUGAUGAAUUGGGAGAUUUAAAACUCCAUUAUUAAACUCCUAUUUGCUUUCAAUAUUUAUGCAACUUGAUCUUUCUAUAAUUAUUGCUUUGCUUUUGGAAUCAAUUUAGGCCUAUUAUUUUUAAUUGCUUGAGUAAUAUAUUGUUUGAAUGAUUAAAGUCCGUAAUUGUUUAGGUUGUUUAAACUCAAGUAUAAUCGGUUGCAUAAUCUAAACUUGACCACGCGGUUGGCAAGGUUAGAAUUAGGUUUCUCUAAGUCUUAAUGCAGUCAACAGUUGUUCGAUGCUAAAAGCCCCAAGGACGUUCCUUGGCAACUCGUUGACUAGUGUUUGAUUAGCGAACGUUUCCUAAUCGAACUAGAACUAAGGAGGAAUUUGGUUGUGAGAAGCGUCUUUGUAACGACCCGAAAACCAGACCGCUACCGGCGCUAGGAUCCAGAUCGGCAUAAGGCCGCCGGGACCCGUAGCAAGCCUAACAUAUAUCCCGUAUACCUGAUAAAUCCCAUACAUGAUCAAAUAUAUACAUUAAAUUUAAACUUUUUCUUUCAUUUUCCAAGCUUAACCUGUGCAUGCACAAACUCAUCAUCAUAAAACCUCACACUGGAGCCCUCAUCAAAUGCUCCAAUGGGGUAACAUAUCAUACAAUAAGCUUGGUUUACAUAAACAUCAUUAAAAUGUUUCAUUAAAAAGAUCAUGUAUCUAAAAGGGAUUAACAUACACUAGGACCAAGCACAAUUCUAUCCUCAAUACAAUUCUUGACAUUACAUCACAUUAUAACAUUUUACAAUACAUGUCCACAUCUAACUAUUACAUAAAACAUUACUUCUUUACUCUUGUUGACAUCUUGGCCUAUCCCGUACCUGCAAACCUGGGGUUUAAGGGAAUGGAGUGAGCUACUAGAGCCCAGUGAGCAGAAUAGUAAAAACAUUUAAAACAUAUGCUAUCAUGGAAUGCAUCACAUCACAGACAAAUCACAUCAAGGAUGAACUUGUCACCAAUAGCCCUCUACACAUUCCAAUCGUGCCAGGGGCGUAGCAUAGGCCUCACUGGUCUUUCUCUUAACAUAGUAUAACCUAACAUAACAUUCCAACGUGCCAGGGGCAUAGCAUGGGCGUCACUGGUCUUUCUCUUACAUCAUGCCAGGGGCGUAGAAUGGGCCUCACUGGUUUUACAUACCAUACCAUAUCAUAUCAUAACAUCAUCAUAUCAUAUCAUACUAGGGCUAAUGGAUCACUCAAUGUUCAUCCACAUCAACAACAUAAUAUGCAAUGCAACAUAUUCGUGAAUUCUAAUGCAAACAACCUAAUAUAUCUCAUGGCAUUCAUGAUGCGUGAAUCAUGCUAAAACUUUCAUUAUUAGCUUUGAAACAUAAAGAGUCAUUCUACUCACCUCUAGCUGACGCUUACUAAUUCUGCAACCGCUAACACUGCUGGCCUCCUCGGUCCCUCGAGUCCGAUCCUACACAGGUGGACUCGAAUGAGGUGCCAAACACACUCUAAACCACUCAUAAACAACUCCCCAAAAACUUCCUAAAACAACCUCAAAAUAUGCAUAGAAAACAACCAUGAAAAGGCUGGACAGGGCACUUUCGGCGGCCGAAGGUCCCUUUCAGAACCGAAAGCCAUGCAUGUUCGGGGGCACUUUCGGCGGCCGAAAGUCCUUUCAGAGCCGAAAGUCUGGCACCUUCGGCGGCAGGUUCGGCGGUCGAAGCUUCUCACAGAUCCGAAAGUCCUGGCCUUUGGGGGCACGUUAGGCAGCCAAAGCUGCCUACCAUGCAGGUUCGACGGCUGAACAUACCUUCGGCGGCCGAACCUGGUUCCCUCCGAACAGCAGGUCCGAAUCUGUCACAAGCAAAACCAACCCCGAAACAACCCGAAACCUCACAUACUCUUUCCCAAACAUGCAUACACACUCCCACAUGAAUAUAGGGGCAUAAACUAACUUAAACCCCAACACAAACAUCAUAUAAACAUACAUUGGGCAUAAAACCCACAUAAACCCUAACAUGCACAUCUACCCACACAAGUAUCAAAACUCCUUAAAACUUACUUAAAACAAAGAAAAGGGUGUGGAUCUACACUUACCUCUUGAAGAUCGAGGGUUGGUGCGAUCCCUAACUUGGAGAUAGGAGGAAACAACUCUUUGGGUCUCCAAGCUCCCAAAACUUGAUCAAAGCUUAGAACUCUUCAAAACAAAGACACAACUCAUGAAAACUUGAGGGAUUUGAAGAAAAAGCAUGAAAACAACCAAGGGAGGACAUGAACUCACCCUAGCUCAAGAAUGGAGAGAAAACUCGCCCAUUUUCAAUCUAAGGGCCUUUUAUAGGUGGCCGGCCAAACCUCCUUCGGCGGCCGAACUUGGGAUUCGGCUGCCGAAAGAAAGCCAUUUUCGGAAGCCUAACGUGCCUCCUAAACAGCCCCAUGUUCGGCGGCCGAACUUGAGGUUCGGCGGCCGAACCUGGUUUCUUCCCUCAAAGCUUUCGGAGGCCUAAAGCACUCCCGAAGCAGCCCCAUGUUCGGCGGCCGAACCUGGGUCCUUCCUCCUUGGCCUAUUCUUCUCAAAACUCAUUUCUUUUCCAAUUAAAAUCAUAAAAUCAUGUGAAAACAUUUUUAGAAACACAUUUUACCCCUCUAGAAGACUAUGGCAUCUUCAAAAUUCCAGAUUCCAACGGAGAUUCCGCCGGAAGGUAGGGAUUCUGAUGCUGGAAUCUAGCCGGGUAUUACAUCCACAACCAAAACUAAUUUAUUGAAUUAAAAUAGGAGUACUAAAUAAUCAAUGAUCAAUUCUAAACAAACUGAAAUUCAUCUAUGCUUCAACUAGAAUCCUUUUCCCAUUGAAAUUCUCAUUUAUUUAAAUUAUUGCUUUCUCUUGCUCUUUAGAUUUAAUUCAUCAAAACAAACCCCCUCUUUUAUUUAUUUGUUAUUUAUUUGCCUUAGUCGUUAUUACGAAGAUCUUUGGUAUCAAAUCCAUGUGGUUCGACCCUAUUAUCACUAUCUACAAGUUAAUUGUUGAUUGUUUAAUAGGUUUUAUUUUUUACGGCUUCGACAACCGCUAUCACAUAUUAAACGAGAAAUCAUAGAGGGAACCUAUUAGACCAAAGAAAAUUUCUACUUGGUAUAAUAGGCUAAUAAAAUCUCAGUAAGUACUAAAAAAUAUAGUAGACAGUUGAUAAGUAAUGAAGUUGGACAGUUUUUUAUAGUUGAAAACCACUCAUGCAUAUAUUAAAGGAGAAAUUAUGGAGUGAACCCAUUGGACCAACUAGAUUUUCUAAUUGAAAAUUGCUGUAGGUAGUUGAUAACUAAAGAAGUUGACAGUUCUGUAUAGUUGAAGAUCACUCUCAUGCAUAUUAAAUGAGAAAUUAUAGAAUAACCCAUUGAGCCUAUUAGAAUUUUUAGUUGGUACAAUAGGCUAAUAAAAUCUCAAAAAGCGUUGAAAAAUACAGUAAAUAGUGGAUAAGUAAUCACGUUAGACAAUUUUCUAUAGUUGAAAAUUACUCAUGCAUGUUAAACGAGAAAUUAUAAAUUGAACCCAUUGGAUCAAUUAGAAUUUCUAAUUGGUUCAACAGGCUAAUAAAAUCUCAGUUGAUAAAUAAUAAAGUUAGACAAUUUUUUAUAGUUGAAAAUCAAUCAUGCAUAUUAGACAAUAAAUUAUAGAGUGAAAUUAUUGGACGAACUAGAAUUUCUAGUCAAUACAACAGGCUAAUUAAAUCUGAAAAAUGCAAUUAAAAAAAUCUAAUAUUAAUAUGCUUAAAUUUAUGCCGUUUGAAAUUUUACACAUUUAUUCAUAUAAUUUUUAAAUUGCAUCUACCUAUUUUGACUGAUUUUUAUUAAUUUUAUUAGAAUUUUAUGUUUAAAUUAUGAUUUUUAGUUUUAGUCUAUUACUUUGAUGUUUUUACCUUAUUUAUAGUAUUUUUACACGUCAAAAUAAAUUAAGGAAUAAAUGAGACAUUUUGAAGAGAAAUCUAAUAAAAUUUAGAGAGGUUCUGAAAAAAUAAACAAAAAUAUGACUGUCUUGUGUUUUUGUCUCUUUCCCAUAUUUUUGCACUCUGCCCUCUCUGGACUAAAAAUUUAUGAGAGUGAAUCACCUGUGUUUUCAUGGUUAUCCCGUGUUUCGCUCUUUUUUUAUGUGCUCAGCCCCAUAUUUUUAUCAGAAAUCUUAAUUCUCUAGGUUUUUCAUUAGAGUCACAAAUUAGAAGUCUCAAUAGGGCAUAAAUACAUUAUAAUGGGGAGACCAAAGGACUUUUUGCCCACUUUUAAACACAUAUAUAUGGCAGAAAUAGAGAAAAACUCAAAGAAGAAGAUUGGGGAGAUCUAGAAAGAGAAAUUCAUUUAGAUUUUUUUAUUUCUUCUCUUAUUUUUUGAUUUAUUAUUCACAAUUAUUUUAGUUUAUUGUUGAAUCUUUAGACAUUGAGCAACUAAAUUCUUUUACUAGGAACUUGAUGUAUCUUGAAUUAUUUAUUCUCUUUAAUUUAUUUGAAUUGAUUUUCUUUAUCAAUUUAUUGUUCAAUUCUUGAGAUUAAUGCUUUUAAGUUACUACGGAAUCCUUGGAUAAUUUUAUCCUAAGAUUUAUACGGGAAGAGAAAGUUUUAAGACUGAAUUGAGAAUUGAAUAUAACAUGAAUACUAAUUGGAUUGAGAAUGAAGAUUUGACUUGUGGAGUCUUAGAUAAAAUAAUUGCAGAAUUUGUAACAUUAAUUAAAGAAUUAUCAUAUUAGUAGGAGAUAGGUGAUAAUCUUUAGUUAAUUAAUUUAGUAGGAUUAAUUACCUUAGAAAUAUUUGCUCCAGAUUUAAUAAUUAAAAUUGGAUUGUUAACUAAAUGAAUUGGUCCAAAUGAAAUCAAGGUAUCCUAAUAUUUAAUAUAAAUUGAUUCUAUCUUGUUGAGUGUUUAGUUUUAUUUUCUUAUUUUAUUUUAAAUUUAUAAUUAUCCUUCACAAUUGAUAGUCAAAAUAAUAAUUAGAUUUAUAAAUAUUUUAGUACUUAAUUUCCAAUACCUGAUACAUCAUAUACUCUACCCUUUUUAUCACUUAAUACAAUUCUAUAUAUUUGUGGAUAUGGGAAGUGUAUAGCCUAUAAAUAUAGUUAUGCCAAAUGACACAUCUAAAUUUGUGUAUUUGUGCUAAUGACACACUUACUAUAUUUUAUUUUUAUAUUUAAUACUGUUACUAAUUAAUAUACUCAUAAUAAAUACAAUUUAUUAUCUUUAUUAUUAUAAUUUAUAUAUGACUUUUAAAUUUCCUUUUAUCAGACUUUUUAAAUUUUUAUAAUUUUUUAAUAUAAUAUAUUAAUAUAAAUAUCUAUCUUUCCAACUAUAAAAUGUGAAAAAUGACAUAUUAUAAACGUGUAAUACUUUUUUUUCAAUUAUAUUUCUAUCAUUAAUAAAUAAUAAAUUUAUAUAUAUAUAUAAUUAGACUCUAAAAUAGAUUGAUGAGAGAUUGACCAGUAUCACUAUUAAACUUACAUAAAAGAGAUUUACAAGUAAUAUAAUUAAUCUUAUGUGGCAAAAAUAUAUUUAUAAUUUUAUAUAUUUUUAAUUUUUUAUAUAAAAUAAUAAUUACCGUAUAUGUAAUAAAUAUAAUUUAUUAUUUUUUUAAAUACUAUCCAUGUAUGAUCUUUUAAUUUUCUACUAUUUCUAAUAUAAUAAAUAUAAUAAAAUUAGAAAAUAUAAUUUUUAUUAUACUUAUUAUUAUUAUUAUAUAACCUUUUGAUAUCCUACUACUUUUUAGUAUAUUAUAUUAUUAAUAUUGUAAUAAAAAUUUUAUUGCAUUUUUAUUAUUAAAAAAAUUUAUUGUAUUUUUAUUAUUAAAAAAUUUUAUUAUAUUUUUAUUUUAAUAAUAAAUAAAAUAUUAAAUAUAUAUUUAUAAAAAUCGAGUAUGUACCUAUAAAAAAAUGUUUGGACAAUUAAAAAUAAUUACUUUUACCAUAUAGUAAUAAUUUUAUAAUAAAAUACUAUAUAAAAAAUUUUUACCAUCUCACAAUAUUGUUUGUUUAUUUGAUAAUUUUAUAAAAUCAUAACUAAUAUAAUUUAAUUUUAAAUACUAUAUGAUGAGAAUAAUUACAUAAAAUAAAUAUAUAUAAUAAAUUAAAAAUAUUAUAAAAAAAUAUUAAUCGUGAUAAAAAUAUAAAAUAAUUAAAAAAUUAAUAGAUUUGUAUAAAAUAUUAUCAAAUUCAAAUUUUAUUAAUUCAAAUAACUAUAUAAAAGGUUAAUAAAUAUAAAUAAUUAAAGUAUAAUAAAAAAUAAAAUUGUGAUUCAAAUAUUUUAAAUCAAUUGUUAUAAAUAUUAAAUAAUCAAAUUAUUAAACUUAAAUUACUAUAAUUUAUUAUAUUAAUGAUUGUGAUAAUUUUAGUCUAUUAACUUUUUACAAAAUUAUAAAUUUCAUUAUCCAUUCUAUAUAACUCCCGUCAGUACGAUCUCUAUUUCAUAUAUUUUUCACUGAAUUCCCUUUCCUCUAUUUCCAUAUAUGACUAUGUUUUGAAAAAAAUUUUUUUUAUUAUUUUCUUAGCGUCUAACACGAGAUACAUGCUUACACUAUCCAAAACUGUCAACUCAACUCUCUUGCCUAAAUUGAAAUUAGAUGAUGAAUUAUCUAAAUAUUUUGGAGAGAUCAUCCUAUUCUUUUUUUAAUUAUAAAAUAUAUCUAUACCAUAAUUAUUGAGCCAACUCAACCUUCUUGCUUAGAUUGAAAUUAGACGAUGAGUCAUCUAAUUGUUUUGGAGAGAUCAUUCUAUUCUUUUUUUUAAUUGUGAAAUAUAUAUCUAUACUAUAAUUAUUGUGAAAUCAUUUCUACUAUUACAAAAUAUUAUUUGCCUAACAUGAUUGAUAUAAUAGAUUUUACCACUCAAGAAAUUGACAUACUUAAUGGGUAUUGUACUAAAACAGAUGAUUCCUCUCCACCACCAGUACCACAAUUGUCAUCCACCAUCGUUGGAGCUUAAUAAACUUUAUUUUUUUAAAAAAAUAUAAUUUUCUUGAAUAUAAUUUAUUAUUAUAUAUUAAUAAUAUAUGAUAAUAAGUACUAAAAUAUUUAAUUUUCUUUGCUGUAAUCGAGUUUGAUGGUGCAUGGAUUUGCACUUAAUUAUUAUUUUGAGUUUAAAAUUUUAGAGAAAAUGUUAUUAAUCGAACGUAAUUUCGACACCUUUUUUCAUAUUAUUCUUAGCACUUAAUUAAGUAUUUUUAUAGUUAAAUUUGUAUUUUUGGCCAUGUUUCACAGAAAAGCAAAAAGAAAAGAAAAUUUGAUGAAAAGUAGCUUAAAAGCACCGAUUAUAUUGCACAGGAACUAUCCAUACCUGCAGGCUAAGUAAAAUAUUUUCUAACAGUGAUUUGCCCAAAUGAUUUGCCCAAACCAACUGGGCAAAUCGAUAGAUUGUACAGAAUCAAACAGUGAGUGGAAAAAAUCUAGAUUUGAAAAUAAAAAGACCUGGUCUUCUCAUUAAAAGCUGCGGAACCUGUGCGAAUUCUUUUCCAUCAAUGCGGCAACAAGUCUUUCUCAAAUUAAGGAGUUCUAUUUUUGAAGAAACGCAUUAAAGGAAGGAUUACUAAUCCAAAUCAAAGAAGAAUUUCUAUUUCCAAAAGGAUUUAGGGUUAAACACUGUGGGCAGCGGCAAAUCAGAUCUCUCCUCACUAGCACCGUUCCUUCAUCUUCUCUUUUCUCUUUAGUAUUUUCUUUCAAACCAUGAGUGGCUAAACUCUUUAUUUCUAAUUGAAGUUAGGGUGAAAUUUCAGUUUAUACAUGAAUUGAGAGAUCUAAACUCAAUUAUUCAUCUUUUAUUCUUCAAUAUUUAUGUAAAUUUUGUUCAUAUUAUUAUUGUAUUAUUAUUUAGGACUCGUUGUUCUUAAUUUCAAAAUAAUAUAUUAUUAGUUUGAAUGCUUGAAAUCCAUAAUUGCUUAGGUUAUUCAAACACAAGUAAUAAUUAGUGUAACAACUAAAAAGUUACAUAAUCUAACUCAAAAUCACCAUGUGACUGGUCAAUUAGAAUUAGGUCUCUCUAGUACUUAAACUAGUUGAUAAAUUAAAAUCUUAUAUAAGUUUUUUGGGUGAUUUGUUGGCUAGGAGUUAAUUAGCGAACGUUUUUUAAUUAAUUUAAAAUAUAAGAAGAGAUUGGUUACGCGGAACAUCUUCCAUAACUAUAAUUAUAAAAGUAUUUUUAUAUCAAUACUCAAUUUCCAAACUGAAUGGAUCCUACACUUCAAUUAGAACUUGUUUAUAUUGAUUUAUUUCUCUUUUAAUUAUUGCUUUCUCUAAUUGCUUUAAUUUUUAUUUUUAUCCAUUAUCAAAAUCCUUUUUUUUUUUAUUAUUAUUUAUUUUUCCUAGUCAUUAUUUCAAAAUUCUUAAUAUCAAUUCUUUAUAGAUUCGAUUCUAUUAUUUGAAAAUUCUUAAUGUCAAUUUCUUAUAGAUUCGAUCCUAUUAUCAUUAUAUGUAAUUCAUAUUUGUUGAUAUUUAAUAGAUUUUUUUUUAUUUCGACACCUAUCAAUUAUGCUUCUCUUAGUAGACCUCCUAAAUUUAUACGAAAAGAAAUAUUAUUUUAUAAAAUACAUUAUAUAAUAAUAAUAUACAAAAAUGUAAUAUCCGUGCAACGAAUAUACGAGUAAAUGACUAAUCCACCUUAUAAUUUCACCUUUGAGUCUCCUUUUCACUUCAAUUUGACGAGACCCUUAAUCACUCAAGUUAUAUGAACUAUGAAUUUCUCUGCCUCAGCUUGAGAGACUUUAAUGUUGUGUUUGGAUGAGAGCAAAAUCAAAGAUGACAAGUGUUCCAGCACAACGCUGCCAACCCGUCUUCCAUGAACAUAUGAAACAUCUUUAGAUUAAUUGCCAUAUACUCUGCAACCGAUUAACCAAGGGUUUUAUCUCUAUUCAACAUAUAUCCUCCCAAAAAUAAGCUGGUGGCACUCUUCAUAAAACUGCUUGGAGCAUCAGUGUUUCACAAUAUUUUGACCAAGAUGAGACUCCCAGCUUCUGCCCCAUCUUCAUCUUGUAUAGUAUUCAUUCCUUAGGGAGAGCUUGUAAAGCUGUUAUGUAGCUGGAAUUUUAUUUAGCAAAAUGGUCAAAUUGGACUGACUUUUUUUUUUAUUUAAACUUUUUCUUUUUGAAUUAAUUUUCUCCUAUUUAUAGGACUACCUGCACGCAGCUCAGAACGAGUACUUUAAUACUAUUACGUCUACUCGUCUCUUCUUACAAACGCAAACAUGGCCCUUCAAGCUGCCACCCAAAGAGCUCAAGUUCGCCGAACAGCACAGUUUCAUCCAACGGUCUGGGGCGACUACUUCAUCAAGCAUGUAUCUGAUAAUGAGGUAAUGAAGGCAAAGAAGUUAUAGGAUGUAAAUCUCGCAAGAAAUGAACAAUUUCUAAUGUAUAACGUUUUAAUGUCUUUUCAUAGAUGCUAAGUGUUUGGACUGAAGAAGCCAAGGUUCUGAAAGAAGAAGUGAGGAGGAUGCUUGUUACAUCUGUUACUGGUUAUAAACCUUCAGAAAAACUGUACCUGGUAGAUGCUAUACAACGACUUGGGAUCUCUUACCAUUUUGAACGAGAAAUAGAAGAAGCACUGAAACAAAUUUUUCAAGAUUUUGAAGAUGAAGAUGUAAACCUCGGCAUUGUCGCUCUUCGAUUUCGCCUUCUAAGACAACAAGGCUAUAAUGUUUCAUCUGGUAAGUCCCUUUUAAGAAAUCCCCAGAUCCAUUUGUAAAUUAAGAAGCAAAUAUUCUACACCAUUUACUCAUUCUCAGGCUGCUCUUUUUGUGGGUUGAUCAGACGUUUUCAACAAGUUCAAGGAUGGAGAAGGCAACUUCAAGGAAGAUUUAAUCAGUGAUGUGCAGGGCUUGUUGAGCUUGUAUGAAGCUUCCUAUCUCAGCGUGCAAGGAGAAGAUAUUCUAGAUGAAACUCUUGAAUUCACCAAAACUCACCUAACAAAGGCAACCCAAUUUGGUUCUCCUCUUGCUGACCAAGUUAGCUAUGCUUUAAGGUGGCCUACACGCAGAGGGUUACCAAGGAAAGAGUCAAGGGAUUACUUCUC
This 36979-nucleotide long non-coding RNA is filed under the name Manihot esculenta (cassava). RNAcentral describes it as "long non-coding RNA (MESC_LNC001075)". Lineage: Eukaryota; Viridiplantae; Streptophyta; Magnoliopsida; Malpighiales; Euphorbiaceae. The record is from RNAcentral.